AGAGUUUGAUCCUGGCUCAGGACGAACGCUGGCGGCGUGCUUAACACAUGCAGGUCGAACGGAAAGGCCCUUCGGGGUACUCGAGUGGCGAACGGGUGAGUAACACGUGGGUGAUCUGCCCUGCACUUUGGGAUAAGCCUGGGAAACUGGGUCUAAUACCGAAUAUGACCAUGCACUUCCUGGUGUGUGGUGGAAAGCUUUUGCGGUGUGGGAUGGGCCCGCGGCCUAUCAGCUUGUUGGUGGGGUAAUGGCCUACCAAGGCGACGACGGGUAGCCGGCCUGAGAGGGUGACCGGCCACACUGGGACUGAGAUACGGCCCAGACUCCUACGGGAGGCAGCAGUGGGGAAUAUUGCACAAUGGGCGCAAGCCUGAUGCAGCGACGCCGCGUGAGGGAUGACGGCCUUCGGGUUGUAAACCUCUUUCAGCACAGACGAAGCGCAAGUGACGGUAUGUGCAGAAGAAGGACCGGCCAACUACGUGCCAGCAGCCGCGGUAAUACGUAGGGUCCGAGCGUUGUCCGGAAUUACUGGGCGUAAAGAGCUCGUAGGUGGUUUGUCGCGUUGUUCGUGAAAACUCACAGCUUAACUGUGGGCGUGCGGGCGAUACGGGCAGACUUGAGUACUGCAGGGGAGACUGGAAUUCCUGGUGUAGCGGUGGAAUGCGCAGAUAUCAGGAGGAACACCGGUGGCGAAGGCGGGUCUCUGGGCAGUAACUGACGCUGAGGAGCGAAAGCGUGGGGAGCGAACAGGAUUAGAUACCCUGGUAGUCC
This 771-nucleotide ribosomal RNA is filed under the name uncultured bacterium. RNAcentral describes it as "bacterial SSU rRNA". It matches the Rfam family "Bacterial small subunit ribosomal RNA", at positions 8 to 796 of the family's 1533-position model. The record is from RNAcentral.